UGGGGAAUUUUGCACAAUGGGGGAAACCCUGAUGCAGCGACGCCGCGUGAUUUAGAAGGCCUUCGGGUUGUAAAAAUCUUUUGUAUAGGAAGAAAAUGACAGUACUAUACGAAUAAGGACCGGCUAAUUACGUGCCAGCAGCCGCGGUAAUACGUAAGGUCCGAGCGUUGUCCGGAAUCAUUGGGCGUAAAGGGUACGUAGGCGGGGAAGCAAGUUAGAAGUGAAAUCCUAUAGCUCAACUAUAGUAAGCUUUUAAAACUGCUCAUCUUGAGGUAUGGAAGGGAAAGUGGAAUUCCUAGUGUAGCGGUGAAAUGCGCAGAUAUUAGGAGGAAUACCGGUGGCGAAGGCGACUUUCUGGCCAUAACCUGACGCUGAGGUACGAAAGCGUGGGUAGCAAACAGG
RNAcentral lists this ribosomal RNA (402 nucleotides) under Bacteroidota bacterium. RNAcentral's name for it is "Bacteroidetes bacterium partial 16S ribosomal RNA". It matches the Rfam family "Bacterial small subunit ribosomal RNA", at positions 355 to 776 of the family's 1533-position model. Lineage: Bacteria; Pseudomonadati; Bacteroidota. The record is from RNAcentral.